This 274-nucleotide ribosomal RNA is filed under the name uncultured prokaryote. Its description in RNAcentral is "partial 16S ribosomal RNA". It matches the Rfam family "Bacterial small subunit ribosomal RNA", at positions 524 to 796 of the family's 1533-position model. The record is from RNAcentral.
UACGGGGGGUGCGAGCGUUGUCCGGAAUCACUGGGCGUAAAGGGCGCGUAGGUGGUUUGAUAAGGGUGUGGUGAAAGCCCGGGGCUCAACCCCGGGUCUGCCGUGCCGACUGUUGAACUCGAGGGCUGUAGAGGCAGACGGAAUUCCGGGUGUAGCGGUGGAAUGCGUAGAGAUCCGGAGGAAGACCGGUGGCGAAGGCGGUCUGCUGGGCAGUUUCUGACACUGAUGCGCGACAGCGUGGGGAGCAAACAGGAUUAGAUACCCCUUGUAGUCC